UACAGAGGUCCCAAGCGUUGUUCGGAUUCAUUGGGCGUAAAGGGUGCGUAGGUGGCGCCGUAAGUCAGGUGUGAAAUCUCGGGGCUUAACUCCGAAACUGCAUUUGAUACUGCGGUGCUUGAGGACUGGAGAGGAGACUGGAAUUUACGGUGUAGCAGUGAAAUGCGUAGAGAUCGUAAGGAAGACCAGCGGCGAAGGCGGGUCUCUGGACAGUUCCUGACACUGAGGCACGAAGGCCAGGGGAGCAAACGGG
Molecule: ribosomal RNA, 253 nt
Filed under: uncultured bacterium
Lineage: Bacteria
Description: partial 16S ribosomal RNA
Rfam family: Bacterial small subunit ribosomal RNA
Source: RNAcentral